Long non-coding RNA from Prionailurus viverrinus (fishing cat), 1529 nucleotides. RefSeq lists it as uncharacterized. Lineage: Eukaryota; Metazoa; Chordata; Mammalia; Carnivora; Felidae. The record is from RefSeq and is a predicted model, not a curated record. The transcript is spliced from 9 exons.
UGCUUGAUGCUUUUUGAUAGCAAAUGAGAGAAAACCAAGAAAAAACGCUCAUUGUGCAUUAAGUCAUCUGGAAACAAUUUCCAGUUCAGUGAAAGGGUUGAGGCCAUUUAUCAUAAAAACCUGAGGGAUAGAGGCAGCCAUGACAUUGUUUUGUGAAGAAGUCGAUGUGUUGCUGCUUUCAUGACCAGACAACAGGUGAUUGUGGUUGCCUAUCACAUCGAUUGCCCUCUCCCCUCACAUAAAUGCUUCCCUCUAAAGAGUCACAUUGCCAUCCAGGAAAACAGACUAAUAUUUGAAAUUAUCCUUAUUUAAAAGAUGUUCAUAUGAGGCUUUUAUUACUGAUGACCAGAUACGGAAAGAAAGCAGAUCUGAUGUCUGGCGAUGGCUACUAGAAAGGGACACCCAUUGAUAUUGGAUUAAGGCUCAUUUUUGGAGGACCUAGUUCAACCUAUAAUAGAUGGCAAUAACAAGCAAGACUCCAGGUUCAGAAGAAAUAGAAUUAAGACGUGAACCCAGAGGGGUAGUAACGUGUCAAGAGAAUUCAGGAGCUUUGCACCCAGAGGUUAUUUGAGCGUGGUUGAGAAUGUUGAAGAGGCAUCCCUGGUAUGUUCCAGAACAAGUAGGGAAGUACGACCACUCUACCAUUGUGCUGACUUUAUGGCAGAUGGACUGGAGGAAUGAAGGGGCAGGUGGCUGGUGUGAACCAGGGGUCCUGUAGAAGCAGCAGAGGUUAAAGCUGAGGCAGGAAUUGAUGAGAAGUAAGGAUUCCCUCUUGUUCCUCUUCAGAAUUCCUACUUGCAGCUGACAAUGGACACACCAAGCCCCUUUGAGGGGCCAAAGGGGAACAUUCAGAUUUGCAAACAGCCAGAUUACAGUUUUACACUUCCUGGUUUUGAAACCCCUGAAAAGCACAAAACUGAGGAAAAAUCAAAAUGGCUGCACUAAUGCUUCAGCGAAGCUCCAUUUUGAAGUAACCAUUUUCCUCUUUUCCGCAAACAUCCUCCCCUACCCCCCCUUUUUUUUCCAGGAACUAGGUACCACCCUGAAAACAACCAAGGGGGCUGGCAGCACUUACGCAAUUCCUGUUGAAACCGACUAGAUCCCGUAUUUCCUUAUAAAACGCAGCAGUCCCUUCCUCUGGAUAGCCUGCGGUUUUUUGAAGGCAAUAGCGAGCUGCAGUCUCCUUUGCCUGGCAAAGCAAUAAAGCUAUUGUUCCUCUUUAUUCCAAACUUUAUCUUUGUGUUAUAUUUUGGCUCUGAAGCAUGGAGUGCAGUUUUUACAACAUUUUGUUCUUGCACCAUUUUUUUUUCUACUACUGUACCUGCAUGGCUUGUGCCAACAUCGAUCAUCUAGUCUAAAUAGCAUGAGAAAGGAGAUAUCACAUCCGUCCUGUAUCCCUAGGACUUAACACAAUGAAUGUUUAUGAAACAGAAGUAUCUUCCCAAGGGUACAAAGGGUUAGUGCCCGCCUUGCCAGGAUAGAAAAUUUUCUUUUCUUUCCUCAUCUCCCCUCAGAGAUGGAGCUCAACU